Molecule: long non-coding RNA, 219 nt
Organism: Hyaena hyaena (striped hyena)
Lineage: Eukaryota; Metazoa; Chordata; Mammalia; Carnivora; Hyaenidae
Exons: 3
Source: RefSeq, a predicted model, not a curated record
AUGAAUAUUUUAGCAAGCAACUGUAAUACGGAAACAAACACUCAAGAUGCCACUCCCAAAUUUAAGAAUGAAGUAGUCCACAGUCUGGCUUGUUCAUCAGACAAAGUCCUGGCUGUCAGAAGCUACUUUUCUUCUCACUGACUACAAUACCAUAAAAGGAAAUGGGUCUUUGAUCAUCCAAUGAGGCAAUGCAGGGAAAUAUACAAAUUCCCAAUAUUU